This 431-nucleotide ribosomal RNA is filed under the name uncultured bacterium. RNAcentral's name for it is "partial 16S ribosomal RNA". It matches the Rfam family "Bacterial small subunit ribosomal RNA", at positions 29 to 507 of the family's 1533-position model. The record is from RNAcentral.
AACGAGCGCUGGCGGCAGGCUUAACACAUGCAAGUCGAGCGCCCCGCCAGGGGAGCGGCAGACGGGUGAGUAACGCGUGGGAACGUACCUUUUGGUUCGGAACAACUCCGGGAAACUGGAGCUAAUACCGGAUAAGCCCUAACGGGGAAAGAUUUAUCACCGAAAGAUCGGCCCGCGUCUGAUUAGCUAGUUGGUGAGGUAACGGCUCACCAAGGCGACGAUCAGUAGCUGGUCUGAGAGGAUGAUCAGCCACACUGGGACUGAGACACGGCCCAGACUCCUACGGGAGGCAGCAGUGGGGAAUAUUGGACAAUGGGCGCAAGCCUGAUCCAGCCAUGCCGCGUGAGUGAUGAAGGCCUUAGGGUUGUAAAGCUCUUUUGUCCGGGAAGAUAAUGACUGUACCGGAAGAAUAAGCCCCGGCUAACUUCGUG